CCUACGGGAGGCAGCAGUGAGGAAUAUUGGUCAAUGGACGAGAGUCUGAACCAGCCAAGUAGCGUGAAGGAUGACUGCCCUAUGGGUUGUAAACUUCUUUUAUAUGGGAAUAAAAUGUUCCACGUGUGGGAUUUUGUAUGUACCAUAUGAAUAAGGAUCGGCUAACUCCGUGCCAGCAGCCGCGGUAAUACGGAGGAUCCGAGCUUUAUUCGGAUUUAUUGGGUUUAAAGGGAGCGUAGGUGGAUUGUUAAGGCAGUUGUGAAAGUUUGCGGCUCAACCGUAAAAUUGUAGUUGAAACUGGCAGUCUUGAGUACAGUAGAGGUGGGCGGAAUGCGUGGUGUAGCGGUGAAAUGCUUAGAUAUCACGAAGAACUCCGAUUGCGAAGGCAGUUCACUGGACUGCAACUGACACUGAGGCUCGAAAGUGUGGGUAUCAAACAGGAUUAGAUACCCCUGUAGUC
Molecule: ribosomal RNA, 460 nt
Filed under: uncultured bacterium
Lineage: Bacteria
Description: partial 16S ribosomal RNA
Rfam family: Bacterial small subunit ribosomal RNA
Source: RNAcentral